RNAcentral lists this ribosomal RNA (598 nucleotides) under Nostoc sp. Am13. RNAcentral's name for it is "bacterial SSU rRNA". It matches the Rfam family "Bacterial small subunit ribosomal RNA", at positions 153 to 783 of the family's 1533-position model. Lineage: Bacteria; Bacillati; Cyanobacteriota; Cyanophyceae; Nostocales; Nostocaceae. The record is from RNAcentral.
GGAACGACUGCUAAUACCGGAUGUGCCGAGAGGUAAAAGGCUUGCUGCCUGAAGAUGAGCUCGCGUCUGAUUAGCUAGUUGGUGUGGUAAGAGCGCACCAAGGCGACGAUCAGUAGCUGGUCUGAGAGGAUGAUCAGCCACACUGGGACUGAGACACGGCCCAGACUCCUACGGGAGGCAGCAGUGGGGAAUUUUCCGCAAUGGGCGAAAGCCUGACGGAGCAAUACCGCGUGAGGGAGGAAGGCUCUUGGGUUGUAAACCUCUUUUCUCAAGGAAUAACAAAAUGAAGGUACUUGAGGAAUAAGCAUCGGCUAACUCCGUGCCAGCAGCCGCGGUAAUACGGAGGAUGCAAGCGUUAUCCGGAAUGAUUGGGCGUAAAGGGUCCGCAGGUGGCAGUGUAAGUCUGCUGUUAAAGAAUGAGGCUCAACCUCAUCAAGGCAGUGGAAACUACACAGCUAGAGUACGGUCGGGGUAGAAGGAAUUCCUGGUGUAGCGGUGAAAUGCGUAGAGAUCAGGAAGAACACCGGUGGCGAAAGCGUUCUGCUAGGCCUGUACUGACACUGAGGGACGAAAGCUAGGGGAGCGAAUGGGAUUAGAU